GACGAACGCUGGCGGCGUGCUUAACACAUGCAAGUCGAACGGAAAGGCCCUGCUUUUGUGGGGUGCUCGAGUGGCGAACGGGUGAGUAACACGUGAGUAACCUGCCCUUGACUUUGGGAUAACUUCAGGAAACUGGGGCUAAUACCGGAUAGGAGCUCCUGCUGCAUGGUGGGGGUUGGAAAGUUUCGGCGGUUGGGGAUGGACUCGCGGCUUAUCAGCUUGUUGGUGGGGUAGUGGCUUACCAAGGCUUUGACGGGUAGCCGGCCUGAGAGGGUGACCGGCCACAUUGGGACUGCGAUACGGCCCAGACUCCUACGGGAGGCAGCAGUGGGGAAUAUUGCACAAUGGGCGGAAGCCUGAGGCAGCAACGCCGCGUGCGGGAUGACGGCCUUCGGGUUGUAAACCGCUUUCGCCUGUGACGAAGCGGGAGUGACGGUAAUGGGUAAAGAAGCACCGGCUAACUACGUG
Molecule: ribosomal RNA, 468 nt
Filed under: uncultured bacterium
Lineage: Bacteria
Description: partial 16S ribosomal RNA
Rfam family: Bacterial small subunit ribosomal RNA
Source: RNAcentral